AACGCACCUUGCGCUCCCUGGUAUUCCGGGGAGCACGCCUGUUCGAGCGUCAUGAAGCUCUCAAACACUAUCUUUUCUUAACUGAGAAGGGUGGCCGUUUGGAUUUGGACUCUGCCGUGUAACAAACGGCUGGUCCGAAAGAUAUUAGCUGAUCCUAGCGAAGCUUGGUUCUACUCGGCGUGAUAAUUAUCUGACGUUGAGGACAUCGCAAGAUGGCCAAAAUUUGUUUUAUGGAUUGCUUCUAAUCGUCUUCAUCGACAACACAUCAUCAAUCUGACCUCGAAUCAGGCGGGACUACCCGCUGAACUUAA
Molecule: unclassified non-coding RNA, 311 nt
Filed under: uncultured Sistotrema
Lineage: Eukaryota; Fungi; Basidiomycota; Agaricomycetes; Corticiales; Corticiaceae
Description: sequence contains ITS2
Source: RNAcentral